AGAGUUUGAUCCUGGCUCAGAGCGAACGCUGGCGGCAGGCUUAACACAUGCAAGUCGAACGGGCAUCUUCGGGUGUCAGUGGCAGACGGGUGAGUAACACGUGGGAACGUACCCUUCGGUUCGGAAUAACUCAGGGAAACUUGAGCUAAUACCGGAUACGCCCUUUUGGGGAAAGGUUUACUGCCGAAGGAUCGGCCCGCGUCUGAUUAGCUUGUUGGUGGGGUAACGGCCUACCAAGGCGACGAUCAGUAGCUGGUCUGAGAGGAUGAUCAGCCACACUGGGACUGAGACACGGCCCAGACUCCUACGGGAGGCAGCAGUGGGGAAUAUUGGAUAAUGGGCGCAAGCCUGAUCCAGCCAUGCCGCGUGAGUGAUGAAGGCCUUAGGGUUGUAAAGCUCUUUUGUCCGGGACGACAAUGACGGUACCGGAAGAAUAAGCCCCGGCUAACUUCGUG
This 455-nucleotide ribosomal RNA is filed under the name uncultured Methylobacterium sp. Its description in RNAcentral is "bacterial SSU rRNA". It matches the Rfam family "Bacterial small subunit ribosomal RNA", at positions 8 to 507 of the family's 1533-position model. Lineage: Bacteria; Pseudomonadati; Pseudomonadota; Alphaproteobacteria; Hyphomicrobiales; Methylobacteriaceae. The record is from RNAcentral.